Non-coding RNA from Oryza glumipatula, 204 nucleotides. Lineage: Eukaryota; Viridiplantae; Streptophyta; Magnoliopsida; Poales; Poaceae. The record is from Rfam.
AACAAGUGCAGUUUUGCACGGUUAUGUCCAACGUUUGACUGUCCGCUUUAAUUGAAUUUUUUUAUGAUUAUUUUUUUUGUUGUUAUUAGAUGAUAAAACAUGAAUAAUACUUAUGUAACUAAUUUUUUUAAAAAAAAUUUAUAAAAUUUUUAAAUAAGACGGAUGGUUAAACGUUGAAUAUGAAAACCCACGAUCGCACUUCGC